This 484-nucleotide ribosomal RNA is filed under the name uncultured bacterium. RNAcentral's name for it is "partial 16S ribosomal RNA". It matches the Rfam family "Bacterial small subunit ribosomal RNA", at positions 30 to 507 of the family's 1533-position model. The record is from RNAcentral.
AUUGAACGCUGGCGGCAGGCCUAACACAUGCAAGUCGAGCGGAUGAAGGGAGCUUGCUCCUGGAUUCAGCGGCGGACGGGUGAGUAAUGCCUAGGAAUCUGCCUGGUAAUGGGGGAUAACGUCCGGAAACGGGCGCUAAUACCGCAUACGUCCUGAGGGAGAAAGUGGGGGAUCUUCGGACCUCACGCUAUCAGAUGAGCCUAGGUCGGAUUAGCUAGUUGGUGGGGUAAAGGCCUACCAAGGCGACGAUCCGUAACUGGUCUGAGAGGAUGAUCAGUCACACUGGAACUGAGACACGGUCCAGACUCCUACGGGAGGCAGCAGUGGGGAAUAUUGGACAAUGGGCGAAAGCCUGAUCCAGCCAUGCCGCGUGUGUGAAGAAGGUCUUCGGAUUGUAAAGCACUUUAAGUUGGGAGGAAGGGCAGUAAGUUAAUACCUUGCUGUUUUGACGUUACCAACAGAAUAAGCACCGGCCAACUUCGUG